AGGUUCCCUCGAGUGCCACCGCGGAGCUAGAAUCGGGAGUCCCAGUGACUCUCACGCGCUCUGAGCGAAGGUCCCUGGAUCUCGGGCAGAAAGUGCCGCAGCGUAAUUAUCGCGCUGUUAGCCUCCGCCGUCGGCUCAUCGAAGAGAGGAAGCUUCGGCUGAUCUUUCGAGCCGGGCGCGAGUGUAUUGGUCAAAGUAAAGUAAUGUGCUUGCACGUCGCUUUGCGGCGAACUUAACAGGGCCUACUCCGAGGAAACU
RNAcentral lists this RNase MRP RNA (258 nucleotides) under Nasonia vitripennis (jewel wasp). RNAcentral's name for it is "RNase MRP". It matches the Rfam family "RNase MRP". From Rfam's summary of the family: RNase MRP is an enzymatically active ribonucleoprotein with two distinct roles in eukaryotes. Lineage: Eukaryota; Metazoa; Arthropoda; Insecta; Hymenoptera; Pteromalidae. The record is from Rfam by way of RNAcentral.